This is a long non-coding RNA of Triticum aestivum (bread wheat), 589 nucleotides long. RefSeq lists it as uncharacterized. NCBI's taxonomy places the organism in Eukaryota, Viridiplantae, Streptophyta, Magnoliopsida, Poales, Poaceae. The record is from RefSeq and is a predicted model, not a curated record. The transcript has 3 exons.
CUGAGGGAAUCCAUCGACGAGGAAUACAGAGGAGAGGAGCGACCGCGUCCAUCAGUGCGCCGCCGGCCGACGGGACGAAGCUCCUGGCCACGCUGCCCUUUCCCAGAUGCCCCGGUCCAGCGCCGCCUUCUUCUCGAGUGCGGCUGCGAUCUCGACGUGGUCCAGUGACGCCGCCCCUCUGCCACCAGCAAUAUCUCCGCCUCCAUCUGCCUCUGCCGCCGCCAGCACCAGAUUUUGUUGCUCUUUUGAAGAGUCGAUCAAGCCACUUCUCGCUGCAUACUCCAAUGUAAUUUUGUCCUGGACCGGAACUGAAGCAAACAAAUCAACUUCCGCAAAGAAGAUGCACUUAUGAUAAAAGAGCUUUGAUCAGCAUAUUUCAAAAGCAAAAAAAGGAAUGGCAACCUUCUGCAUACGUCCAUGUUUUGAAGUUAUUUAGUUUUCCAUUAAUAAAUAUAUCACCUCCGUGCAAGCGCUACUGCAUGAUCAGAUGAUCAAGAACUUCUUCGCCAGUUAACGUGUCUCGGUACUAUGUAUUGCAAAAACUAUUCAUCUUUUGUGCACUGAAUAUGGUUAUCGUACCUCUAAAUAA